RNAcentral lists this ribosomal RNA (584 nucleotides) under Enterobacter hormaechei. RNAcentral's name for it is "partial 23S ribosomal RNA". It matches the Rfam family "Bacterial large subunit ribosomal RNA", at positions 2238 to 2821 of the family's 2925-position model. Lineage: Bacteria; Pseudomonadati; Pseudomonadota; Gammaproteobacteria; Enterobacterales; Enterobacteriaceae. The record is from RNAcentral. RNAcentral also lists the same sequence under 6 other names.
AUCCGGGUUGCGGACAGUGUCUGGUGGGUAGUUUGACUGGGGCGGUCUCCUCCCAAAGAGUAACGGAGGAGCACGAAGGUUGGCUAAUCCUGGUCGGACAUCAGGAGGUUAGUGCAAUGGCAUAAGCCAGCUUGACUGCGAGCGUGACGGCGCGAGCAGGUGCGAAAGCAGGUCAUAGUGAUCCGGUGGUUCUGAAUGGAAGGGCCAUCGCUCAACGGAUAAAAGGUACUCCGGGGAUAACAGGCUGAUACCGCCCAAGAGUUCAUAUCGACGGCGGUGUUUGGCACCUCGAUGUCGGCUCAUCACAUCCUGGGGCUGAAGUAGGUCCCAAGGGUAUGGCUGUUCGCCAUUUAAAGUGGUACGCGAGCUGGGUUUAGAACGUCGUGAGACAGUUCGGUCCCUAUCUGCCGUGGGCGCUGGAGAAUUGAGGGGGGCUGCUCCUAGUACGAGAGGACCGGAGUGGACGCAUCACUGGUGUUCGGGUUGUCAUGCCAAUGGCACUGCCCGGUAGCUAAAUGCGGAAGAGAUAAGUGCUGAAAGCAUCUAAGCACGAAACUUGCCCCGAGAUGAGUUCUCCCUGAGAC